CCUACGGGUGGCAGCAGUGGGGAAUAUUGCACAAUGGGCGCAAGCCUGAUGCAGCCAUGCCGCGUGUGUGAAGAAGGCCUUCGGGUUGUAAAGCACUUUCAGCGGGGAGGAAGGCGUUAAGGUUAAUAACCUUGUCGAUUGACGUUACCCGCAGAAGAAGCACCGGCUAACUCCGUGCCAGCAGCCGCGGUAAUACGGAGGGUGCAAGCGUUAAUCGGAAUUACUGGGCGUAAAGCGCACGCAGGCGGUCUGUCAAGUCGGAUGUGAAAUCCCCGGGCUCAACCUGGGAACUGCAUUCGAAACUGGCAGGCUAGAGGCUUGUAGAGGGGGUAGAAUUCCAGGUGUAGCGGCGAAAUGCGUAGAGAUCUGGAGGAAUACCGGUGGCGAAGGCGGCCCCCUGGACAAAGACUGACGCUCAGGUGCGAAAGCGUGGGGAGCAAACAGGAUUAGAUACCCCAGUAGUC
Molecule: ribosomal RNA, 464 nt
Filed under: uncultured Klebsiella sp.
Lineage: Bacteria; Pseudomonadati; Pseudomonadota; Gammaproteobacteria; Enterobacterales; Enterobacteriaceae
Description: bacterial SSU rRNA
Rfam family: Bacterial small subunit ribosomal RNA
Source: RNAcentral